AGACAUUAAUGAAUGCAAGGAAAAGCUUGCAUGCAACUGUCCUGAUUGCUACUGCAAGAACACCUGGGGAGGAUAUGACUGCAAAUGCAAGGGAAAUCUUUUGUACAUAAAGGCAGAGGACACCAUGCAUUGCCAAGAAUAUGUCGAGGUUUGGUUGGUUUUUGACUAUUUUGGUUCUCGCAUGUGUGGUUGGUGUGGAAUAGCAGGUUAUAUAUUCUACAAAUACUGGCUCAGGUCUUACAUGGAUUCUGAGAUCAUGGCUAUCAUGUCCCA
Phoenix dactylifera (date palm) is the source of this 273-nucleotide non-coding RNA. The record is from RefSeq and is a predicted model, not a curated record. NCBI's taxonomy places the organism in Eukaryota, Viridiplantae, Streptophyta, Magnoliopsida, Arecales, Arecaceae.